RNAcentral lists this unclassified non-coding RNA (37 nucleotides) under Sorangium cellulosum So ce56. RNAcentral describes it as "sce_REN-SRE_3". Lineage: Bacteria; Pseudomonadati; Myxococcota; Polyangiales; Polyangiaceae. The record is from RNAcentral.
CCAACAAAGAUAACGACUUUCAUUUUCAUGUUCAUGA